AGAGCGAACGCUGGCGGCAGGCCUAACACAUGCAAGUCGAACGGACUCUUCGGGGUUAGUGGCGGACGGGUGAGUAACACGUGGGAACGUGCCUUUAGGUUCGGAAUAGCUCCUGGAAACGGGUGGUAAUGCCGAAUGUGCCCUUCGGGGGAAAGAUUUAUCGCCUUUAGAGCGGCCCGCGUCUGAUUAGCUAGUUGGUGAGGUAAAGGCUCGCCAAGGCUACGAUCAGUAGCUGGUCUGAGAGGAUGACCAGCCACACUGGGACUGAGACACCGGCCCAAACUCCGUACGGGAGCAGCAGGUGGGAAUCUUGCGCAAGUGGGACGAAACGCCUGACGCAGCCAGUCGCCGCGUAGAAUGAAUGGAAGGUCGUUAGGAAUUAGUUAAAAUUUCUUUACGAGGUAGGGAACGAUAAUGAACGUACCUACAGAAGACGCCCGACUAACUCGU
This 450-nucleotide ribosomal RNA is filed under the name uncultured soil bacterium. RNAcentral describes it as "bacterial SSU rRNA". It matches the Rfam family "Bacterial small subunit ribosomal RNA", at positions 26 to 505 of the family's 1533-position model. The record is from RNAcentral.